AGAGUUUGAUCAUGGCUCAGGAUUAACGCUGGCGGCGCACAUAAGACAUGCAAGUCGAACGGAAGUCGUUGUAAUGAUGUUGACAUGAACAGAGAACUUGUUCGAAGGAAUUGAAGAUUGACUUACAACAAUGGCUUUAGUGGCGGACUGGUGAGUAACACGUAAGCAACCUGCCUAUUAGAGGGGAAUAACAACGAGAAAUCGUUGCUAAUACCGCAUAUGCCAUAAUAAUCACAUGAUUAUAGUGGGAAAGGAGUAAUCCGCUAAUAGAUGGGCUUGCGUCUGAUUAGUUAGUUGGUGGGGUAACGGCCUACCAAGACGACGAUCAGUAGCCGGACUGAGAGGUUCAACGGCCACAUUGGGACUGAGAUACGGCCCAGACUCCUACGGGAGGCAGCAGUCGGGAAUAUUGCGCAAUGGAGGAAACUCUGACGCAGUGACGCCGCGUAUAGGAAGAAGGUUUUCGGAUUGUAAACUAUUGUCUGCAGGGAAGAAAAAAGACUGUACCUGCAAAGAAAGCUCCGGCUAACUACGUGCCAGCAGCCGCGGUAAUACGUAGGGAGCAAGCGUUGUCCGGAUUUAUUGGGUGUAAAGGGUGCGUAGACGGGAAGAUAAGUUAGUUGUGAAAUCCCUCGGCUCAACUGAGGAACUGCAACUAAAACUGUCUUUCUUGAGUGCAGGAGAGGAAAGUGGAAUUCCUAGUGUAGCGGUGAAAUGCGUAGAUAUUAGGAGGAACACCAGUGGCGAAGGCGACUUUCUGGACUGUAACUGACGUUGAGGCACGAAAGUGUGGGGAGCAAACAGGAUUAGAUACCCUGGUAGUCCACACUGUAAACGAUGGAUACUAGGUGUAGGGGGUAUUAAGCCUUCUGUGCCGUCGCU
Molecule: ribosomal RNA, 882 nt
Filed under: uncultured bacterium
Lineage: Bacteria
Description: bacterial SSU rRNA
Rfam family: Bacterial small subunit ribosomal RNA
Source: RNAcentral